GGGGAUUUAGCUCAGUGGUAGAGCACUUGCCUAGCACGCGCAAGGCCCUGGGUUCGGUCCCCAGCUCCG
This is a non-coding RNA of Rattus norvegicus (Norway rat), 69 nucleotides long. The record is from Rfam. NCBI's taxonomy places the organism in Eukaryota, Metazoa, Chordata, Mammalia, Rodentia, Muridae.